This 1931-nucleotide unclassified non-coding RNA is filed under the name Hevea brasiliensis (rubber tree). Lineage: Eukaryota; Viridiplantae; Streptophyta; Magnoliopsida; Malpighiales; Euphorbiaceae. The record is from RNAcentral.
GCGAUAGGCAUUCAUAGUUGGAAUUAAAAAAUAAUAAUUUAAUAAGAGCAUGAAGGGGUCAACGAAUUAAUACAACAAAUCCCUGGAGAAACAAAACAGAGGAAUGUCAAGCAAACAUCUAUAGAAACAGAACAAACGUUGUAUGAUGCCCCCAUUAUACCGUAGCCCAAGCUCACAAGACUAGUUAUCGUGACAAAAUAUACUCGCCUAAUAAGAUCCUAAUUAUCUUUUCAAGAGUAAUAUCCAAAACGCAGAAUACCUGAGCUACUGCGAGCCAUUGACUAUAGACACUGGAAAGACGAAAAAAAAUUUAGCGUAUAUAAUAUGGAACAAGCAAGCGUAUAUAAUAUGGAACGAACCACUAACAGAUUUAAAAUUCCCUUAACAAGAACUGGAACUCAUUCUAACGAACAGCCUACCCAAGAAUUCCGAUUCUCAAGUGUUUCUUCAGCUGGAUGAAGGUCUUGCGAUGGCCUUCUUAACUGCCUCAGCAUAUGUCCUGUGUUGAUAAGUGAGGGUUGAUUCAAGCAAGUCCCACAGCGAUGUCUUGGGGUUCCAACCAAGCUGUCUAUUGAUUAUGGUCAUGUCUGGAACUCUCUUGUCACUGUCGUCAUAUCCCUCACCAUAAAAUUCCUUGGAGGAGACAUCAACUGUUGGCACCUCCAGAGCCGGUUCUCCGCUUACGUUUGCAUAGACCUGUUGAGAGAAAGCAUAUCAAUUCCAUGUCUAAGAACACAUUCCAAUCCACCCGGUAUUAAAAGAAAAAGAUAGAUGUAUUGUCAUAAUAACCCCUCGCCUCAGUCAUCAUUUCGGCAAGCUGCCUAACAGUAACUUCAUUGUAAGGGUUUCCAACAUUGAAAAUGUGACCAUUAGCCCUGGCUGGAUUUUCAAUCAUCAAGAGAACAGCUUCAAUGGCAUCUUUGAUGUAAAUGAAAGAUCUCUGAGAUUGACCACCAUCCACUAGCUUGAGUGGUUCACGGCGCAAGAGAGCAUUGCUAAAGCAUGCCAGAACCCUGGGAACACCCUCACUUGGACCAUCAAUACCAGGUAUGAAGUCCAUUCUGGGUCCAAUCCAGUUGAAAGGUCUCACAAUGGUGAACUCAAGGCCAUUCUCCGCGCCCUCAGCAUAUAUCAGCCUCUCAAUCAACUGUUUUGCACAUGCAUAGGACCACCUCUGCUUCUCAAUUGGUCCAAAAAUACAGGGGGAAGCAUCUUCUUUAAGAAUGUAGUAGGCAGGAUCCUGACGAAGAGGGCUAUCUUUAGGAAGAAAGCUCCCAAUCGUUUUACCAUACACCUCGCAAGUCGAGAAGUGAAUUAGACGCUUGUUAUUCUCCGUACAGUACUUCACCACUGGGAGCGAAUCAAUAAAAUUGCUGUAAAUCGUGUCCAAGGGACGCGUAUUGUAAUCCGCCGGAGUACAAAUAGCCGCCAGAUUUAUCGUCAGAUCCGCCAUCUUGAUAAGGCCUUCAAGGCGGGAGUCAUUUUUGAUGUUGAGGCGGUGGAACUGGAUCCGGUCGUUCCAAGAGAGUGAUUCCGUCUUGAGGAGGUGCUUGAUCUUAUCGUUGUAGACAUCAAGAGCCAAGAUCGUGUGCGGCGUCUCCAUCAACAACUUCUCACAAAGGUGGGAGCCAAUGAAACCUCCAGCACCAAUCAUGCAUAUUGUGAUCGGCCUUAUCGGCCUCCCAUCCAGAUCCACCCUAUUCAUCGCCGUCGCCAUUGUCUCAAACAAUCACCAAAAAGUGCAAAAGGCCAAAAUCUCUCUCAAACGAGAAAUGAAAACGGAAAAGGAAAUGGAAAUUGAAAUGCUUUUACGCGUCCAUCUAUUUAAUGGAAGUAACGGUGGUGGAAGCUAACGUGAGCCGACGGUGCCAAACCGAAGCAGAAUAAGGGAGAUUUCUGGACUGCAAAAGAACGAAAUAAAAAGGAGGAUC